RNAcentral lists this transfer RNA (73 nucleotides) under Penaeus monodon (black tiger shrimp). RNAcentral's name for it is "tRNA-Phe". It matches the Rfam family "tRNA". Rfam says of the family: Transfer RNA (tRNA) molecules are approximately 80 nucleotides in length. The record is from RNAcentral. Lineage: Eukaryota; Metazoa; Arthropoda; Malacostraca; Decapoda; Penaeidae. RNAcentral also lists the same sequence under 2 other names.
GCCUAGAUAGCUCAGCUGGGAGAGCGUUAGACUGAAGAUCUAAAGGUCCCCGGUUCGAUCCCGGGUCUGGGCA